GACGAACGCUGGCGGCGUGCUUAACACAUGCAAGUCGAGCGGUAAGGCCCUUUCGGGGUACGACGAGCGGCGAACGGGUGAGUAACACGUGGGUGACCUGCCCUUAGCUCUGGGAUAAGCCUGGGAAACUGGGUCUAAUACCGGAUAUGACUCCAUGACGCAUGUUGUGGGGUGGAAAGCCUUGUGCGGCUAGGGAUGGGCCCGCGGCCUAUCAGCUUGUGGUGGGGUGAUGGCCUACCAAGGCGACGACGGGUAGCCGGCCUGAGAGGGCGACCGGCCACACUGGGACUGAGACACGGCCCAGACU
This 307-nucleotide ribosomal RNA is filed under the name uncultured bacterium. Its description in RNAcentral is "bacterial SSU rRNA". It matches the Rfam family "Bacterial small subunit ribosomal RNA", at positions 28 to 337 of the family's 1533-position model. The record is from RNAcentral.